This is a long non-coding RNA of Ipomoea nil (Japanese morning glory), 817 nucleotides long. RefSeq lists it as uncharacterized. The transcript is spliced from 3 exons. NCBI's taxonomy places the organism in Eukaryota, Viridiplantae, Streptophyta, Magnoliopsida, Solanales, Convolvulaceae. The record is from RefSeq and is a predicted model, not a curated record.
AUCAUUAUGUAUAUUAUUAUAUAAUAAAACCCAACGUCCAGGCCCAAAUUUGCAGCCCAAACUCGACCCAAAACCCACCAUAUAAAAUCCAAGCAACCCGGCUGUGUAUAGACACUAAGACACACACCCCCAAAUACAACUCUAACGCUAACACCCAUCCCUCUGACGUCCUCAUCGCACUCUUCGCCUCUCAGCCCUCGCAUUGUCUCUCUCUGUCUCUAUCGACGUCUCCUGCUCUCCACCAUCGGCGUGUCCAGCUCUCUGCCCUCGGCGAUCUCAGCCUCCCUCCGUCUCUCUAUGUGUCGAUAUUGUCUCUCUAUGUGUCGCAGCCUCUCCAGUUCCGGUUCUCCGCCCUCGGCGUCUACGGCUCUAUGCCCUCAACGCUUUCAUGCUCGAAGACCUUCUCUCAGCAUACCUGUGAGGCAAUCCAUCGAACAGGUUAAUGGGGAAAGUUGCAUCUGAUAACUACAUAAUGUGAACUAAACAUAUCCAAUUACUGGUAGAGUUCCUUUGAUGCUGUGUCAAUGGCAGUAAGAACGCUUGGAAAUUUAUGCAGGUGGUAUGCUAUUGAAAUCCUUAAAAAGGGUUUCUAUUAGCUUUUCUGAGCAUGUGUAUUCAUGGAUUUCAUGCUAAGCUUUGCCUCCCUGAGUCUCUGAUCUCUUCUCCUGCAACAAAACAAAUGAGAAACAAAUAAUCAGUCCUUCAAAUUGGUUUACCAUCAUUGUAGAUGUGGGUUUCACCACAGAACCAUCUAUUUAUAGGCAUUUUCUCAGUAAAAUUUAAUUUUAAAAAUGUGUACAUGCUUGCUUGUGUUGUA